GACGAACGCUGGCGGCGUGCUUAACACAUGCAAGUCGAACGGAAAGGCCCUGCUUUUGUGGGGUGCUCGAGUGGCGAACGGGUGAGUAACACGUGAGUAACCUGCCCUUGACUUUGGGAUAACUUCAGGAAACUGGGGCUAAUACCGGAUAGGAACUCCUGCUGCAUGGUGGGGGUUGGAAAGUUUCGGCGGUUGGGGAUGGACUCGCGGCUUAUCAGCUUGUUGGUGGGGUAGUGGCUUACCAAGGCUUUGACGGGUAGCCGGCCUGAGAGGGUGACCGGCCACAUUGGGACUGAGAUACGGCCCAGACUCCUACGGGAGGCAGCAGUGGGGAAUAGUGCACAAUGGGCGGAAGCCUGAUGCAGCAACGCCGCGUGCGGGAUGACGGCCUUCGGGUUGUAAACCGCUUUCGCCUGUGACGAAGCGUGAGUGACGGUAAUGGGUAAAGAAGCACCGGCUAACUACGUG
This 468-nucleotide ribosomal RNA is filed under the name uncultured bacterium. RNAcentral's name for it is "partial 16S ribosomal RNA". It matches the Rfam family "Bacterial small subunit ribosomal RNA", at positions 28 to 507 of the family's 1533-position model. The record is from RNAcentral.